UGCCAGACUCCUACGGGAGGCAGCAGUGAGGAAUAUUGGUCAAUGGGCGCGAGCCUGAACCAGCCAAGUCGCGUGAGGGAUGACGGCCCUACGGGUUGUAAACCUCUUUUGUCGGGGAGCAAAGCGAACCACGUGUGGUUCAUUGAGAGUACCCGAAGAAAAAGCAUCGGCUAACUCCGUGCCAGCAGCCGCGGUAAUACGGAGGAUGCGAGCGUUAUCCGGAUUUAUUGGGUUUAAAGGGUGCGCAGGCGGAAUGUCAAGUCAGCGGUAAAAUUUCGGGGCUCAACCCCGUCGUGCCGUUGAAACUGGCGUUCUUGAGUGAGCGAGAAGUAUGCGGAAUGCGUGGUGUAGCGGUGAAAUGCAUAGAUAUCACGCAGAACUCCGAUUGCGAAGGCAGCAUACCGGCGCUCAACUGACGCUCAUGCACGAAAGCGUGGGUAUCGAACAGGAUUAGAUACCCGUGUAU
RNAcentral lists this ribosomal RNA (466 nucleotides) under uncultured bacterium. Its description in RNAcentral is "bacterial SSU rRNA". It matches the Rfam family "Bacterial small subunit ribosomal RNA", at positions 329 to 793 of the family's 1533-position model. The record is from RNAcentral.